AUGAACUACACUCUUCGCUGGCAGAGCUUGCAGCUGAUCAUGCUGAUUUUUUUGCAUUACUGCGGGAACACCUCCGCAGCGCACAGGAGCGCGUCAAGGCUCAGGACGACAAGCACCACCAGGAUUGUUAGUUCGCUGUCGACAAAGAUGUGCUCCUCAAGCUUCAACCAUAGGCGCACUCGUUGCUUGUCAGUCAGACCGUGCUCCAAGCUUGCUCACAAAUUCUACAGCCCAUUCAAAGUCUUGGAACGAAUUGGAGCUGCAGCUUAUCGUUUGGAUCUUCCGCCCUCAAGUCUCAUACAUCCAGGGUUUCACAUGUCGCAACUGAAGCCAUUCACCGCCAACUAUUCACCGGUCUUCAUGGAGCUGCCAGAUCUCUCCACUGUGCUGUUGCAACUGCUGGCUAUCCGGGAGCGACUUAUGGUCACGAAGGGUAGCAUGACAAUUCUGCAAGUCAAGGUACGCUGGAACAUGCGACUUGGGAAGAUUACUACAUCUUGUGCUCGUGUUUUCUAG
This 516-nucleotide ribosomal RNA is filed under the name Triticum aestivum (bread wheat). RNAcentral's name for it is "partial small subunit ribosomal RNA". The record is from RNAcentral. Lineage: Eukaryota; Viridiplantae; Streptophyta; Magnoliopsida; Poales; Poaceae.